RNAcentral lists this ribosomal RNA (496 nucleotides) under uncultured bacterium. RNAcentral's name for it is "partial 16S ribosomal RNA". It matches the Rfam family "Bacterial small subunit ribosomal RNA", at positions 28 to 506 of the family's 1533-position model. The record is from RNAcentral.
GAUGAACGCUGGCGGCGUGCCUAAUACAUGCAAGUCGAGCGAACGGACGAGAAGCUUGCUUCUCUGAUGUUAGCGGCGGACGGGUGAGUAACACGUGGAUAACCUACCUAUAAGACUGGGAUAACUUCGGGAAACCGGAGCUAAUACCGGAUAAUAUUUUGAACCGCAUGGUUCAAAAGUGAAAGACGGUCUUGCUGUCACUUAUAGAUGGAUCCGCGCUGCAUUAGCUAGUUGGUAAGGUAACGGCUUACCAAGGCAACGAUGCAUAGCCGACCUGAGAGGGUGAUCGGCCACACUGGAACUGAGACACGGUCCAGACUCCUGCGGGAGGCAGCAGUAGGGAAUCUUCCGCAAUGGGCGAAAGCCUGACGGAGCAACGCCGCGUGAGUGAUGAAGGUCUUCGGAUCGUAAAACUCUGUUAUUAGGGAAGAACAUAUGUGUAAGUAACUGUGCACAUCUUGACGGUACCUAAGCAGAAAGCCACGGCUAACUACGU